This 253-nucleotide ribosomal RNA is filed under the name uncultured bacterium. RNAcentral's name for it is "partial 16S ribosomal RNA". It matches the Rfam family "Bacterial small subunit ribosomal RNA", at positions 524 to 776 of the family's 1533-position model. The record is from RNAcentral.
UACGUAGGGGGCUAGCGUUGUCCGGAUUUAUUGGGCGUAAAGAGCGUGUAGGCGGUCAGGUAGGUCUGCUGUGAAAACUCGAGGCUCAACCUCGAGACGUCGGCGGAAACCAUCUGGCUAGAGUCCGGAAGAGGAGAGUGGAAUUCCUGGUGUAGCGGUGAAAUGCGCAGAUAUCAGGAAGAACACCCGUGGCGAAGGCGGCGCUCUGGGACGGUACUGACGCUGAGACGCGAAAGCGUGGGGAGCGAACAGG